This 253-nucleotide ribosomal RNA is filed under the name uncultured bacterium. Its description in RNAcentral is "partial 16S ribosomal RNA". It matches the Rfam family "Bacterial small subunit ribosomal RNA", at positions 524 to 776 of the family's 1533-position model. The record is from RNAcentral.
UACGUAGGGUGCAAGCGUUGUUCGGAAUUACUGGGCGUAAAGGGCGCGUAGGCGGCCUUCUAAGUCGAACGUGAAAUCCCCGGGCUCAACCCGGGAACUGCGUCCGAUACUGGAAGGCUUGAAUCCGGGAGAGGGAUGUGGAAUUCCAGGUGUAGCGGUGAAAUGCGUAGAUAUCUGGAGGAACACCGGUGGCGAAGGCGACAUCCUGGACCGGUAUUGACGCUGAGGCGCGAAAGCCAGGGGAGCAAACGGG